Long non-coding RNA from Nilaparvata lugens (brown planthopper), 922 nucleotides. RefSeq lists it as uncharacterized. The transcript is spliced from 2 exons. Lineage: Eukaryota; Metazoa; Arthropoda; Insecta; Hemiptera; Delphacidae. The record is from RefSeq and is a predicted model, not a curated record.
UUUGAAAUAAUGUACUUUCCACCAAUAAAUUACAUACCAGCAAAUUACUAAUAAAAUGGCAUAUAUUCAUCAUGCCCUGCAUAAUCAUUUUAUUGGAAAGUCUAAAAAUGCUUUUUUAAUUUUUAAGAUGACAUAAGAAAGAUGUGGUCUCAUUCAGUGUUCACUUGAAAUUAUAUUUGCUGUGUGAUAUUUCAGGCAGGUAGACAAGCAACCACCCAAGAGCUAAUGGGCAGCCGAGCGACGAUCCUGAGACAGUAGCCAAGUGCCCCUGUAGCUGGCGCCGUCACCAGGGGCCCACGAGAUGGAUGGAGGCGGUGGGAAGGCGAAAUGAAUAAGACACCUGGUGAUGGUGAGAAUACUGAUGCUGGACUGAUGAACGUGCCAACUCCACUGAUACCUCACCAUAUUUGUUUUACAUAGAGCAAUCCAAUAUUUUUAUACACUUAUGAAGUUUAUUAUCAAUAAGCAUAUUAUUUAUUAUUUAAGAGCAUAAAAACCGCCCAGAAAUUUUGGAUUAAGAAGGAGAUCAGUCACUGGUAUAAAAUAAGGGAUAGCUUAUCUUUCUACAUUUAUAUUCUCCACAUACAACUGGCAAGCAAACUGCACAAGGCUGAGUGGGAUUUCCUGGACAACAAAUGUAGGGAACAACUUUUUAGGAGAUUGAGUGAGAAAACAGUCACUCAAAACAAAAAACUGCAGAAACUUCUCAAAGAUCAACAUCCGACACUAAAUAAUAGGCCUAUCAUUCAACAUCAACACAAGUUUGCUGAUAGGGUAGCUAAUUUCUCACAAGUCCAAUUUUCAUCCUCAGAGACAGAGUUACUAGGACGAGGUAACAAAUACAGUAGUCAUAACUAUUUGGAUAACCAACAACUUGAACGACUAGCAUGCAGCAUUGAUAGCAAUUGGGAAGCCUCAAAGA